UAACAUGUUAAAUGUGAUCAGCAUUUGAAAUACCUGCCUGCUAGACUGCCUGGGACAGGUUAUUUUCAACACAGACUGACAGAUUCUCAAAUUCACCUGCCCAAUGGUUGGGUUAAAAUGUAGACAU
Long non-coding RNA from Haliotis rubra (blacklip abalone), 127 nucleotides. RefSeq lists it as uncharacterized. NCBI's taxonomy places the organism in Eukaryota, Metazoa, Mollusca, Gastropoda, Lepetellida, Haliotidae. The transcript has 3 exons. The record is from RefSeq and is a predicted model, not a curated record.